AUUUAGUAAGUAUAGGAUUCAGUAUUUAUGUGUUGGGGUUGGGGCAUUGUUUAGUAUUUAGUGAUUGUGGGUUUAUAUUUGGGUUUAAGAUUUAUUGAUUAAUGUUUAGAGUUUAAUAUUUGGAAGGUGGGAGUUGAGAUUGAGGUCAUCAUUAUCUUCUUGCAUGUAAUCAUAAUAUAAUUUCACUAAUAUGUAUUAUGCUAUUUAUUUUGUUCCAUUAUGUUUGGGUUUAUGAUUUAUAUUUGGGUUUAAGGUUUAGUGAAUAAGGUUUAGGAUUUAAUAUUUAGAAGGUGCGGAGAUAUUGUUGAGGUCAGCAUUAUUCUAAAAUUAUAGACAUUUCAUAAUUUUACCAAUAUAAAUUUUGUUAUUUAUUUUGUUUCAUUCUUUUUGGUUUAGAAUUAUAUAUGAGUUUAUGGUUUAUAUUUAGUUUUAGGAUUUACUAAUUAAAGUUUAGUAUUUAAAGUUUGGGAUGAGGUUCAGAUAAAUUUUAGUAUCUAGAUCGUAGGAGUUGAGAUAGAGUCGGUGUCAUAUAUUAUUUUAAUGAUAUGGAAUUAGAACAUUUUAGCUUUCUAUGUUGGAAGAACAUGUUUACAUGUGGGCCAGAUAUGUAGUGGUCGACGUCAUCUCUUUUUUAUUUGUUAACUUAUACCAA
RNAcentral lists this long non-coding RNA (652 nucleotides) under Brassica napus (rape). RNAcentral's name for it is "long non-coding RNA (BNAP_LNC007699)". Lineage: Eukaryota; Viridiplantae; Streptophyta; Magnoliopsida; Brassicales; Brassicaceae. The record is from RNAcentral.